AGGACCGAAUGUGAGAAUCGCACAGUUGAAGAAGUGAAAAAGCGUCAUCGUCCACCGUCGCACUCUCUUUCUGGUACCAAAUCAGUAGCUACAGCUCCGGCGACUCAAAGACGACGACGUGAAGCUGUGAAAUUGAAGAAGAAGAAGAGGUUUCUGAUCUCUGAAAGUCUGAAACUCUGAUGGAAUCAACAAAACUCUUAGUGGGUUUUGAUUUGGGUCGUUAUUGGGCCGUAAAAGUUUUUGUUCAAUUUCUUGAGAGCUAGUUUUCAUAUUGUUGCACCAAAAUGAGAGUUAUCUUUGUUGUAAAAUGAACUGAAUUUAGUGACUUAUUUUUUAUUGUCAUCUGAAAUUUAUUAAAGGAGAUUGAAAUUACAUAUAUUUUCAUUUUUUGAUUAUUAUGGUUUUCAAGAAUAAUGUAUUUUGAUUUAUCUAUUGAAUUUUUUUUGAGUAAUUCAAAUUUUAUUAUUCAAAGUUUAUGUUAUUCACUACUUAACACCUAAAAAAUCUAAUCAUGUUUCACAAUGAUAUGUUUUAUACGUAUUUUUUUGGACUACUUAAUGCAUAUAAUAGUUUUUUUUUUGUUUAUGCAGUGUUUUGAAAGAGUUACCCAAAAACAAAAAUCGUUGUUAUGUCAUCGAUUUAUUCAUAUCAGAUAUGUAUAUUGGUUUAGUUGAUAUAAGUUGGUUUAGUAGAACCAUUGUAUAGUGUAAAGUAUAUAAGACAUUUGUACAGAAUCAUUUUACAAUUAAUGAGAAAAGCCUUCAUAAUAUCUUCAACAAACUUUUCUCUCAUCUCUAUUCCGCUAAUAUGGUAUCAAAGCCUUCCAAGCUCAAAACUCCAUUGUUUUCGAUCUGAUUUCUUCAUUCUCAGCUCAAGUUCGUCUUCUUCGUUGUUCUCGCUCCAGAUACAAUGGUGACAGCUAGAGUUACUCGGAAAUCCACUCGAUCGAAGUCCGGUACAAGUUCUGCAGCUCGAAAAUCAUCGCGAUCCACCGGUGUUGAUGAAUCUCCUCCGAUCUCUCCUCCAGUUCACAAAUCCAACGUUUCUGGAGCUUCGCGAGUCAUCGCACCACCGGAAUCCGUUGAUCCGACUCAGUCUCCCUUCUUCUUGCAUAGUGCAGAUCAUCCAGGUUUGAAUAUCAUAUCUCAUCGUCUUGAUGAAACAAACUAUGGUGAUUGGAAUGUUGCUAUGCUUAUCUCCUUAGAUGCUAAGAAUAAAUCUGGAUUUAUUGAUGGAACUCUCCCUCGUCCGUUGGAAUCGGAUAAGAAUUUUCGUCUUUGGUCUAGAUGCAAAAGCAUGGUGAAGUCUUGGUUAUUGAAUUCUGUAUCUCCUCAGAUCUAUAGGAGCAUUCUCCGUAUGAAUGAUGCUUCUGAUAUAUGGCGUGAUCUUCACAGUCGUUUCAAUGUGACUAAUCUCCCACGCACAUAUAAUCUUACUCAAGAGAUCCAGGAUUUUCGCCAAGGUACAUUGUCUUUGUCUGAGUACUAUACUCGCCUCAAGACAUUGUGGGAUCAAUUAGAAAGUACAGAGGAACUAGAUGAUCCCUGUAUUUGUGGUAAGGCUAUGCGUUUGCAACAGAAGGCAGAGCAAGCUAAGAUAGUGAAAUUGUUAGCUGGUUUGAAUGAUUCUUAUGCUAUCAUUCGCAGACAGAUCAUUGCUAAGAAAGCACUCCCAAGUUUAGCAGAGGUGUAUCACAUUCUGGAUCAAGACAACAGUCAACAAGGUUUUUCCAAUGUGGUUGCUCCACCGGCUGCUUUUCAGGUCUCUGAGGCAAUGAUGGCUACUAACAAUGAUGUGAAUAUGCUAUGUUCAGAGUGGUCCAAACAAGGGCAGACCGAUUUGUUCUUUCUGUAAUAGGGUUGGACAUAUUGCAGAAAGAUGCUAUAAAAAGCAUGGAUUCCCUCUUGGUUUUACUCCUAAAGGCAAAGGUGGUGACAAGUCUCAGGUGAUAGAUUCAGGAGCAAUACAUCAUGUAUCUCAUGAUAAGAGUCUUUUCUUGAAUUUGGAUACUUCUGUUGUGAGUGCAGUGAAUUUACCAGCUGGUCCUACUGUAAGAAUCAGUGGUGUUGGUACAUUGCGACUUAAUGAUGACAUUCUUCUCAAGAAUAUCUUAUUCAUUCCUGAGUUUCGCCUGAAUCUAAUCAGUAUAAGUUCUCUGACUGAUGACAUUGGUUCACGAGUAAUAUUUGAUAAGACUUCUUGUGAAAUUCAGGAUCCUAUCAAGGCUCGGAUGCUUGGUCAAGGUAGGAGAAUUGCGAAUCUAUAUGUGCUGGAUAUUGAAGAUCCUAUUGUCUCAGUGAAUGCAGUGGUUGAUAUCAGUAUGUGGCAUCGAAGACUUGGUCAUGCUUCUCUACAGAGAUUGGAUGUUAUUUCAGACUCUUUGGGGACUACUAAGCCUAAGAAUAAAGGCUCAGAUUAUUGUCAUGUUUGUCAUUUAGCUAAACAGAGAAAGUUACCCUUCCCUUCUCAGAAUAAAGUUUGUAAUGAAAUCUUUGAUUUGUUACACAUUGACAUUUGGGGUCCUUUUUCAGUUGAGACAGUGGAUGGCUAUAAAUAUUUUUUGACAAUUGUGGAUGAUCAUUCCAGAGCUACAUGGAUUUAUUUGCUUAGAAACAAGUCAGAAGUUCUUACUGUGUUUCCUGCUUUCAUUGAACAAGUUGAGAAUCAGUAUAAAGUGAGAGUAAAGGCAGUGAGAUCAGAUAAUGCACCAGAAUUGAAAUUCACAAGUUUAUAUCAGCAGAAAGGGAUUGUUUCGUUUCAUUCCUGUCCUGAAACACCGGAGCAGAAUUUAGUGGUUGAGCGUAAACAUCAACACAUACUCAAUGUUUCUCGGGCUCUCAUGUUCCAAUCUCAGGUACCACUCUCUCUUUGGGGUGAUUGUGUGUUAACGGCUGUGUUUCUUAUCAACAGGACACCUUCCCAGCUCUUAUCAAACAAGACUCCAUAUGAGAUUCUCACUGGUACAGUUCCUGUUUAUGAGCAGUUUCGAACCUUUGGUUGUUUGUGUUACAGUUCUACUUCGCCAAAAAAAGACAUAAGUUUCAGCCGAGAUCUAAAGCGUGUGUGUUUUUGGGAUAUCCUGCUGGUUACAAGGGGUACAAGUUAAUGGAUUUGGAGAGUCACACUGUGUUUAUCUCAAGGAAUGUUGUUUUUCAUGAGGAGGUAUUUCCAUUGGCUGUGGAUCCAAAGUCAGAGAGUUCUUUGAAGUUGUUUACUCCAAUGGUUCCUGUGUCCUCAGGUAUUACACAAUCUCCUAUCUCUUCUCUUCCAUCACAAAUUUCUGAUCUACCACCACAAAUUUCUUCACAGAGAGUUAGGAAACCUCCUGCUCAUCUGUCAGAUUAUCAUUGCAACAUCACGCAAUCUAAUCACAAAUAUCCUAUUUCCUCUACUAUCUCUUACUCUAAAAUUUCUCCAUCUCACAUGUGUUAUAUCAAUAAUAUCACAAAAAUUCCUAUUCCCACCACAUUUGCUGAGGCACAGGACACCAAAGAAUGAUGUGAGGCUGUUGAUGCAGAGAUUGGUGCUAUGGAAACUACACACACUUGGGAGAUUACUACUUUACCUGCAGGGAAGAAGGCAGUAGGGUGUAAAUGGGUAUUCAGUUUGAAGUUUUUGGCAGAUGGCAGUCUUGAGCGGUAUAAGGCUAGAUUGGUUGCUAAGGGUUACACUCAGAAAGAAGGUCUAGACUAUACAGAUACUUUCUCUCCAGUGGCAAAGAUGACUACAAUCAAGUUGUUAUUGAAGAUUUCUGCCUCUAAGAAAUGGUUCUUAAAACAGCUUGAUGUGUCUAAUGCUUUCUUGAAUGGUGAGUUAGAGGAAGAGAUUUACAUGAAGUUACCUGAAGGUUAUGCGGCAAGGAAAGGUAUCACUCUACCUCCUAAUUCAGUCUGUCGAUUGAAGAGAUCCAUUUAUGGUUUGAAACAGGCCUCUCGUCAGUGGUUUAAGAAGUUUUCUGCUUCAUUACUUGAUUUGGGUUUUAAGAAGACACAUGGUGAUCAUACUUUGUUUAUUAAAGAGUAUGAUGGAGAAUUUGUGAUUGUUUUGGUUUAUGUUGAUGAUAUUGCUAUUGCGAGUACAAGUGAAGGUGCUGCAAUACAAUUGACUCAGGAUUUACAACAGCGAUUCAAGUUAAGAGAUCUUGGGGAUUUGAAAUAUUUUUUGGGUCUUGAGAUUGCUAGAACUGAAGCUGGUAUUUCUAUCUGCCAGAGAAAGUAUGCUCUUGAGUUAUUAGCAUCUACUGGUAUGGUUAACUGUAAACCUGUUUCAGUUCCCAUGAUCCCGAAUGUGAAGAUGAUGAAGACUGAUGGUGAUUUGUUGGAUGAUAGAGAACAAUACCGUCGUAUUGUAGGAAAGCUGAUGUAUUUGACAAUUACUAGACUUGACAUCACCUUUGCAGUUAACAAGUUAUGUCAGUUUUCCUCUGCUCCUAGGACGUCUCAUCUUCAAGCUGCUUAUCGAGUUUUACAAUAUAUCAAAGGCAGUGUUGGCCAAGGUCUGUUCUAUUCUGCAUCUGCAGAUCUUACUCUUAAAGGUUUUGCAGAUUCAGAUUGGGCUUCCUGUCCAGAUAGUAGGAGAUCAACAACUGGAUUCAGCAUGUUUGUGGGUGAUUCAUUGAUAUCUUGGCGUUCCAAGAAACAGCAUGUGGUUUCCAGAUCUUCUGCAGAGGCUGAGUACCGUGCCUUA
RNAcentral lists this small RNA (4686 nucleotides) under Arabidopsis thaliana (thale cress). RNAcentral describes it as "ATSL047630". The record is from RNAcentral. Lineage: Eukaryota; Viridiplantae; Streptophyta; Magnoliopsida; Brassicales; Brassicaceae.